CAGGGGAUAACAUUUGGAAACAAGUGCUAAUACCGUAUAAUACCAACAACCGCAUGGUUGUUGAUUCCAAGAUGGUUCUGCUAUCACUAAGAGAUGGACCCGCGGUGCAUUAGCUAGUUGGUAAGGUAACGGCUUACCAAGGCGAUGAUGCAUAGCCGAGUUGAGAGACUGAUCGGCCACAAUGGGACUGAGACACGGCCCAUACUCCUACGGGAGGCAGCAGUAGGGAAUCUUCCACAAUGGGCGCAAGCCUGAUGGAGCAACGCCGCGUGUGUGAUGAAGGGUUUCGGCUCGUAAAACACUGUUAUAAGAGAAGAACGGCACUGAGAGUAACUGUUGGGUGGGUGACGGUAUCUUACCAGAAAGGAACGGCUAAAUACGUGCCAGCAGCCGCGGUAAUACGUAUGUUCCAAGCGUUAUCCGGAUUUAUUGGGCGUAAAGCGAGCGCAGACGGUUAUUUAAGUCUGAAGUGAAAGCCCUUAGCUCAACUGAGGAAUGGUUUUGGAAACUGGAUGACUUGAGUGCAG
Molecule: ribosomal RNA, 527 nt
Filed under: uncultured bacterium
Lineage: Bacteria
Description: bacterial SSU rRNA
Rfam family: Bacterial small subunit ribosomal RNA
Source: RNAcentral